RNAcentral lists this ribosomal RNA (257 nucleotides) under uncultured prokaryote. RNAcentral describes it as "partial 16S ribosomal RNA". It matches the Rfam family "Bacterial small subunit ribosomal RNA", at positions 524 to 780 of the family's 1533-position model. The record is from RNAcentral.
UACGGAGGAUGCGAGCGUUAUCCGGAUUUAUUGGGUUUAAAGGGUGCGUAGGCGGCUUCUUAAGUCAGCGGUGAAAUUUUGCAGCUUAACUGUAACAGUGCCGUUGAUACUGGGGAGCUAGGAUUUGGUUGCUGUGGGUGGAAUGUGUGGUGUAGCGGUGAAAUGCUUAGAGAUCACACAGAAUAUCGAUUGCGAAGGCAGCUCACAAAGCCAAGAUUGACGCUGAGGCACGAAAGUGUGGGGAUCAAACAGGAUUA